This 253-nucleotide ribosomal RNA is filed under the name uncultured bacterium. RNAcentral's name for it is "partial 16S ribosomal RNA". It matches the Rfam family "Bacterial small subunit ribosomal RNA", at positions 524 to 776 of the family's 1533-position model. The record is from RNAcentral.
UACGGGGGGGGCAAGCGUUGCUCGGAAUUACUGGGCGUAAAGGGCUCGUAGGCGGCCAACUAAGUCAGACGUGAAAUCCCUCGGCUUAACCGGGGAACUGCGUCUGAUACUGGAUGGCUAGAGGUUGGGAGAGGGAUGCGGAAUUCCAGGUGUAGCGGUGAAAUGCGUAGAUAUCUGGAGGAACACCGGUGGCGAAGGCGGCAUCCUGGACCAAUUCUGACGCUGAGGAGCGAAAGCCAGGGGAGCAAACGGG